UUAAAUGUAGUUAAAAUGGUGUAAAGUUGAAGUAAAAUGUGCUUAAGAUGGUUCAACAUGGCUGAAUAUGGGUGAAGUGUGCUUGCUGAGGCAUCAACUGAAGUAAUCAUGAAGCUGAUGUCAAUAGUUAAAGUAUUUAAAGCUUAAACUGAAUAUUAAAGGCGCUGAACAGGUUGAAUGUAGCCCAAAUCACUUUAAAAGGCAGAAAGAGCUGAAAAAGAGGUGAAUUGGCAGCUGAAA
Long non-coding RNA from Melanotaenia boesemani (Boeseman's rainbowfish), 240 nucleotides. RefSeq lists it as uncharacterized. NCBI's taxonomy places the organism in Eukaryota, Metazoa, Chordata, Actinopteri, Atheriniformes, Melanotaeniidae. The transcript has 3 exons. The record is from RefSeq and is a predicted model, not a curated record.